Molecule: unclassified non-coding RNA, 295 nt
Filed under: uncultured fungus
Lineage: Eukaryota; Fungi
Description: sequence contains ITS1
Source: RNAcentral
CGGACUACCAGGGUAUCUAAUCCUGUUUGCUCCCCACGCUUUCGUGCAUGAGCGUCAAUCUUGACCCAGGGGGCUGCCUUCGCCAUCGGUGUUCCUCCACAUAUCUACGCAUCUCACUGCUACACGUGGAAUUCUACCCCCCUCUGCCAGAUUCUAGCCUUGCAGUCUCCAAUGCAAUUCCCAGGUUGAGCCCGGGGAUUUCACAUCAGACUUACAAAACCGCCUGCGCACGCUUUACGCCCAGUAAUUCCGAUUAACGCUUGCACCCUACGUAUUACCGCGGCUGCUGGCACUU